GAACAACAAAGGCAAGAAUAGGACACCAUGGAUUCAUCACCGAAUUGAAUCCUUAUUGAAAUCGAAAACACUUUGUGCACGGAUGAAAGAAGACGAAGGGAGGGUGGCUCCAGGUAACUAUCACUUUGUAUCUUCUUCUUCGUGCCUUUGAUUCUGCUCUGUUAUGUUUUGUUAUUGUUCUUCAAUUUCGUUCCGUGUUUGUAAUCGUGUGCAUGUUAUUGUGGCUGCUGAUUCGUUACGUCGUUGUUGAAUUCGUGGUGAGGAUAAUUGAAGGGUGUGUAUUAUUGUGAAGAGUGAAGAAUGUUGAAUUCAUCUUGUGAUUGUUGCCCCCUAAUUCUCUAUGCAAUCCUCUGUUCUCCUUUGUUUGAAGCUCUCUUCCAAGUUCUGUUAUUCUGUUAUGAUCUUCUCAAUUCUGUUUAUUUUUUUCUCUUGUAUGCCUCUGUUUCAGGUUGGUUAUCGAUUUUGUUGUGUACUUUUUUGGAAAGCGGUUAUAGGUUGGAAGUUGUUAGUGGUUGGUUCUGAAAUUCGGUUAGGAGUUAAAAGUUGUUAGUGGUUGGUUGUGAAAAUGAUUAGAAGUGUUGGUUAGCCAAAUGAAGUUAGUUGGAAUUGAGUUAGAGGUAACUAGUUGUUUGUUAUGUAGGAAGUGAAUUUAGUUAGAAAGAAUUAGUUGGAAUUCAGGUUAAUUGCUUUGCAAAUGGUUUGCUGUGCAAGUUUGCUGAGUUGAAGAAAAUGAAUUAUGCAGGUUAUAUGUUUUUGCUGUGGAAAUUACAGGGCUUUGUGAUCAAUAGCUUGGAAUGCAAGAACUCGAUUUACAUUGUGGAAUUGUUGGUCAUGAAGGAAUGGAUUUGAGCUAGGGACUGUCAUUGAAAUGAAUUGGAAUGCUAUGGACUUUGUUCAUGUUGUAGUUUUUGUAAUUUGAAGUUGAAUGUAAUAUGUAAGUUGGUUUAUGGUUAAGUGUAUGAAAUGUGAAUAUUGAUGUAUGAAUGGAAAUGUUGAUGUAUGUAUGGAAAUUAAAUCUUAGAAAUUGGCUAAAAAAUGAUAAUUGGAUUAUGUUUGGAAA
RNAcentral lists this long non-coding RNA (1060 nucleotides) under Lathyrus oleraceus (garden pea). RNAcentral's name for it is "Pisum sativum (pea) long non-coding RNA (PSAT_LNC030555)". The record is from RNAcentral. Lineage: Eukaryota; Viridiplantae; Streptophyta; Magnoliopsida; Fabales; Fabaceae.